UGAGGAAUCUGCCCUUCUCAUCGGAAUAAGCGUUGGAAGCGACGUCUAAUGCCGAAUACGACCUCCUUUCGUAUGAUCGGAGGUGGAAAGCUCCGGCGGAGAAGGAUGAGCUCGCGGCCUAUCAGCUAGUUGGUGUGGGUAAUGGCCCACCAAGGCGACGACGGGUAGCCGGCCUGAGAGGGUGACCGGCCACACUGGGACUGAGACACGGCCCAGACCUCCGUACGGGGAGNAGCG
This 237-nucleotide ribosomal RNA is filed under the name uncultured bacterium. RNAcentral describes it as "partial 16S ribosomal RNA". It matches the Rfam family "Bacterial small subunit ribosomal RNA", at positions 118 to 353 of the family's 1533-position model. The record is from RNAcentral.